AUUGAACGCUGGCGGCAGGCCUAACACAUGCAAGUCGAACGAGUGGCGGACGGGUGAGUAAUGACUGGGAAACGGACCGAUGGAUGGGGAUAGCUACUGGACACGGUAGCUAAUACCGCACACCUUCGGAUGUGCCCAGAUAGGAUGAGCUAGGAGGUGGGGUAACGGCUCACAUAGGCGACGAUCCCUAGCUGGUCUGAGAGGAUGACCAGCCACACUGGAACUGAGACACGGUCCAGACUCCUACGGGAGGCAGCAGUGGGGAAUAUUGCACAAUGGGCGCAAGCCUGAUGCAGCCAUGCCGCGUGUAUGAAGAAGGCCUUCGGGUUGUAAAGUACUUUCAGCGAGGAGGCGUUACUCGCAGAAGAAGCACCGGCUAACUCCGUGCCAGCAGCCGCGGUAAUAC
RNAcentral lists this ribosomal RNA (406 nucleotides) under uncultured bacterium. Its description in RNAcentral is "partial 16S ribosomal RNA". It matches the Rfam family "Bacterial small subunit ribosomal RNA", at positions 30 to 526 of the family's 1533-position model. The record is from RNAcentral.